AGUGAACGCUGGCGGUAGGCCUAACACAUGCAAGUCGAACGGCAGCACAGUAAGAGCUUGCUCUUACGGGUGGCGAGUGGCGGACGGGUGAGGAAUACAUCGGAAUCUACUUUUUCGUGGGGGAUAACGUAGGGAAACUUACGCUAAUACCGCAUACGACCUACGGGUGAAAGCAGGGGAUCUUCGGACCUUGCGCGAUUGAAUGAGCCGAUGUCGGAUUAGCUAGUUGGCGGGGUAAAGGCCCACCAAGGCGACGAUCCGUAGCUGGUCUGAGAGGAUGAUCAGCCACACUGGAACUGAGACACGGUCAAGACUCCUACGGGAGGCAGCAGUGGGGAAUAUUGGACAAUGGGCGCAAGCAUGAUCCAGCCAUACCGCGUGGGUGAAGAAGGCCUUCGGGUUGUAAAGCCCUUUUGUUGGGAAAGAAAAGCAGCAGGUUAAUACCCCGCUGUUCUGACGGUACCCAAAGAAUAAGCACCGGCUAACUUCGUG
This 492-nucleotide ribosomal RNA is filed under the name uncultured bacterium. RNAcentral describes it as "partial 16S ribosomal RNA". It matches the Rfam family "Bacterial small subunit ribosomal RNA", at positions 29 to 507 of the family's 1533-position model. The record is from RNAcentral.